GAUGAACGCUGGCGGCGUGCCUAAUACAUGCAAGUCGAGCGAACAGAUGAGGAGCUUGCUCCUCUGACGUUAGCGGCGGACGGGUGAGUAACACGUGGAUAACCUACCUAUAAGACUGGGAUAACUUCGGGAAACCGGAGCUAAUACCGGAUAAUAUAUUGAACCGCAUGGUUCAAUAGUGAAAGACGGUUUUGCUGUCACUUAUAGAUGGAUCCGCGCCGCAUUAGCUAGUUGGUAAGGUAACGGCUUACCAAGGCAACGAUGCGUAGCCGACCUGAGAGGGUGAUCGGCCACACUGGAACUGAGACACGGUCCAGACUACUACGGGAGGCAGCAGUAGGGAAUCUUCCGCAAUGGGCGAAAGCCUGACGGAGCAACGCCGCGUGAGUGAUGAAGGUCUUCGGAUCGUAAAACUCUGUUAUUAGGGAAGAACAAAUGUGUAAGUAACUAUGCACGUCUUGACGGUACCUAAUCAGAAAGCCACGGCUAACUACGU
RNAcentral lists this ribosomal RNA (496 nucleotides) under uncultured bacterium. RNAcentral's name for it is "partial 16S ribosomal RNA". It matches the Rfam family "Bacterial small subunit ribosomal RNA", at positions 28 to 506 of the family's 1533-position model. The record is from RNAcentral.